UUGAUGGCAGUGUAUUGGACUACCUUGGCUAUUACGGGUAACGGAGAAUUAGGGUUCGAUUCCGGAGAGGGAGCCUGAGAAACGGCUACCACAUCUAAGGUAGGCAGCAGGCGCGUAAAUUACCCAAUCCUGACUCAGGGAGGUAGUCAUGAGAAAUCUUAGAUCAGCAAUAGCUGAAUAUAUGAUGGGCUAAAUCUAGACCAUUUUACGAAUCAAUUGGAGGGCAAGUCUCGGUGCCAGCAGCCGCGGUAAUUCCAGCUCCAAUAGUGUAUAUUAACGUUGCUGCAGUUAAAAAGCUCGUAGUUGAAUUUCUGUGAGUCGAAUUUUCUCCGGAUUAGGAGACAUCACAUCCGCGUCGGAAGCCAUUACAGUUUAACUUAGUGGUAGAAGCGCAUUUUACUUUGAAGAAAUUAGAGUGUUCCAGGCAGGCUUUGCUUGAAUACAUCAGCAUGGAAUAAUGGAAUAGGACAAGUCAAUUUUAUUGGUUAUUUGGCUUGUAAUGAUUAACAGGGACAGUUGGGGGCGUUUGUAUUCAAUAGUCAGAGGUGAAAUUCUUGGAUUUGUUGAAGACAAACUAAUGCGAAAGCAUUCGCCAAGGAUGUUUUCAUUAAUCAAGAACGAAAGUUAGGGGAUCAAAGACGAUUAGAUACCGUC
RNAcentral lists this ribosomal RNA (654 nucleotides) under uncultured eukaryote. RNAcentral's name for it is "bacterial SSU rRNA". It matches the Rfam family "Eukaryotic small subunit ribosomal RNA", at positions 322 to 1019 of the family's 1831-position model. The record is from RNAcentral.